Molecule: ribosomal RNA, 697 nt
Filed under: uncultured bacterium
Lineage: Bacteria
Description: bacterial SSU rRNA
Rfam family: Bacterial small subunit ribosomal RNA
Source: RNAcentral
GAACGGUGAACGGGGCUUCGGCCCCUGGAUCAGUGGCGAACGGGUGCGUAACACGUGGGCAACCUGCCCCAGACACUGGGAUAACUCCGGGAAACCGGGGCUAAUACGGAUACUCCGAUCGGAUCGCAUGGUCUGAUCGGGAAAGCUUUGCGGUCUGGGAUGGGCCCGCGGCCUAUCAGCUUGUUGGUGAGGUAACGGCUCACCAAGGCGACGACGGGUAGCUGGUCUGAGAGGACGACCAGCCACACUGGGACUGAGAUACGGCCCAGACUCCUACGGGAGGCAGCAGUGGGGAAUCUUGCGCAAUGGGCGAAAGCCUGACGCAGCGACGCCGCGUGGGGGAUGAAGGCCCUCGGGUUGUAAACCCCUUUCGGCAGGGACGAAGCGAUUGUGACGGUACCUGCAGAAGAAGCCUCGGCUAACUACGUGCCAGCAGCCGCGGUAAGACGUAGGAGGCGAGCGUUGUCCGGAUUCAUUGGGCGUAAAGAGCACGCAGGCGGUUUGGCAAGUCGGAUGUGAAAAUCCGGGGCUCAACCCCGGACCUGCAUCCGAAACUGCCCGACUAGAGGUAGGUAGGGGAGAUCGGAAUUCCUGGUGUAGCGGUGAAAUGCGCAGAUAUCAGGAGGAACACCGGUGGCGAAGGCGGAUCUCUGGGCCUUACCUGACGCUCAGGUGCGAAAGCUAGGGGAGCAAACAG